AACUUUCAACAACGGAUCUCUUGGUUCUGGCAUCGAUGAAGAACGCAGCGAAAUGCGAUAAGUAAUGUGAAUUGCAGAAUUCAGUGAAUCAUCGAAUCUUUGAACGCACAUUGCGCCCAUUAGCAUUCUAGUGGGCAUGCCUGUUCGAGCACUUA
This 155-nucleotide ribosomal RNA is filed under the name Muscodor tigerensis. RNAcentral describes it as "5.8S ribosomal RNA". It matches the Rfam family "5.8S ribosomal RNA". Rfam says of the family: 5.8S ribosomal RNA (5.8S rRNA) is a component of the large subunit of the eukaryotic ribosome. Lineage: Eukaryota; Fungi; Ascomycota; Sordariomycetes; Xylariales. The record is from RNAcentral.